GAUGAACGCUGACAGAAUGCUUAACACAUGCAAGUCGAUGGGGAAGUGGUGCUUGCACCCUGGCAACCAUGGCGGACGGGUGAGUAACGCGUAAGGGACUUACCUGCAGGACUGGGAUAACAGGGGGAAACUCCUGACAAGACCGGAUAAUGUCAUGGAGCUGCAUGGCUUUAUGAUGAAAGGAGACGCCUGCGGAGAGCCUUGCGUCCUAUUAGCUAGUUGGUGAGGUAAUGGCUCACCAAGGCGAAGAUAGGUAGCCGGCCUGAGAGGGUGGACGGCCACAAGGGGACUGAGAUACGGCCCUUACUCCUACGGGAGGCAGCAGUGGGGAAUAGUGGACAAUGGGGGCAACCCUGAUCCAGCAAUUCUGUGUGCACGAAGAAGGUUUUCGGAUUGUAAAGUGCUUUCAGCAGGGAAGAAGUAAGUGACGGUACCUGCAGAAGAAGCGACGGCUAAAUACGUG
Molecule: ribosomal RNA, 463 nt
Filed under: uncultured bacterium
Lineage: Bacteria
Description: partial 16S ribosomal RNA
Rfam family: Bacterial small subunit ribosomal RNA
Source: RNAcentral